CCUAGUAAGCACAAGUCAUCAGCUUGUGCUGAUUACGUCCCUGCCCUUUGUACACACCGCCCGUCGCUACUACCGAUUGAAUGGCUUAGUGAGACCUUUGGAUCGUUAGUUCAGAACUGUAAAAGGUUUUUUUCUGAUGAGAAGUUGGUCAAACUUGGUCAUUUAGAGGAAGUAAAAGUCGUAACAAGGUUUCCGUAGGUGAACCUGCGGAAGGAUCAUUAUUAUUUGGCUUGGGUUUACUUUUCAAGAAUUUGGUCCUUAGUUUUUUUUAAAAAGUAAAUCUGUACCAAAUAAACAGUUUAAAUCGAACCUGUUUAUUACUCGCCCUUUUAUAGGGAGGAGCAAGAUGAACUUUAUUUAAAACCACCCACUCUUAUAAAUGUAUCAUAUAUAAUAUAAAUUAAUAAAAAGAUCACUUUCAACAACGGAUCUCUUGGUUCUCGCAUCGAUGAAGAACGUAGCGAAGUGCGAUAUGUAGUGUGAAUUGCAGAAUUCCGUGAAUCAUCGAAUUUUUGAACGCAAAUUGCACUCUCCGGUUUUCCAGGAGAGUAUGCCUGUUUGAGGGUCAGCCUAAAAAAAUCGACAUUGUUGCUGUUGAGGUGACUUUCGUCGGAGGUUGGGUCAUCUUAAACCUUUUGGUUUAAGCGACUUAAAAAUUUUUUUUACGAUUCCAAGAACGUUUCUAAGAUUUUCUUACAUGUUCAAGGUGUCGAAUGUCAUAUUAGACGUAGCCGUCGUAUCGGAUCGCGUCCAUAAUUUUUUUCGUUAACUGACCUCAGACAGGUAAGAAUACCCGCUGAACUUAAGCAUAUCAAUAAGCGGAGGAAAAGAAAAUAACAAUGAUUCCCUUAGUAACGGCGAGUGAAGGGGGAAAAGCUCAAAUUUUAAAUCGGCGCAGGUUCACCUGGUCGAGUUGUAAUUUGAAGAGGCGUUUUCCGCGUCCGGGUCGACCCAAAUCCUUUGGGAUAGGGUAUCAUGGAGGGUGAGAAUCCCGUCCGGUUGAUCUCAGGAUGUUUUACGAUGCGCUUUCUAAGAGUCGAGUUGUUUGGGAUUGCAGCUCAAAAUGGGAGGUAAAUUUCUCCUAAGGCUAAAUACAGGCGAGAGACCGAUAGCGAACAAGUACCGUGAGGGAAAGAUGAAAAGAACUUUGAAAAGAGAGUUAAACAGUACGUGAAAUUGUUGAAAGGGAAACGAUUGAAGCCAGUCUUACCAACGGAAAAUCAACUUCUUGAGUGUUUGUCGUGGGUGAUGUUGAGCUUCGGCCUUCGUUGCUUGCGUUAUGGUGCUUUUGGGGUGUACUUUUUCGUGGUAGGUCAAUAUCGAUUUUGAUCGUCAUAAAAUGAUCGGAGGAAUGUGGCUUCGAUCUCGUAUCGGAGUGUUAUAGCCUUUGGUAGAUGUGACGAUUGGGAUCGAGGAUUGCAACGAAUACCCUUUGGGCUAUCCGUCUGACCUCUGAAAGUCGCUCGGGUGUUGAAAGCUUGCUUAUGACAUUCUAGUUGGCGGUCAAAAGGUUAGAAUGCGAUUAUAUUCGUUAAGGAUGUUGACGUAAUGGCUUUAAACGACCCGUCUUGAACACGGACCAAGGAG
RNAcentral lists this ribosomal RNA (1587 nucleotides) under Glomus sp. 2 SL-2017. RNAcentral's name for it is "eukaryotic LSU rRNA". The stretch from base 771 to 1587 matches the Rfam family "Eukaryotic large subunit ribosomal RNA", at positions 1 to 673 of the family's 3401-position model. The record is from RNAcentral. Lineage: Eukaryota; Fungi; Glomeromycota; Glomeromycetes; Glomerales; Glomeraceae.